This 68-nucleotide transfer RNA is filed under the name bovine gut metagenome. It matches the Rfam family "tRNA". Rfam says of the family: Transfer RNA (tRNA) molecules are approximately 80 nucleotides in length. The record is from RNAcentral.
UGAUAUGGCUCAGUUGGUAGAGCAGUUGAUUCGUAAUCAACAGGUCGUCGGUUCGAGUCCGACUAUCA